Molecule: ribosomal RNA, 253 nt
Filed under: uncultured bacterium
Lineage: Bacteria
Description: partial 16S ribosomal RNA
Rfam family: Bacterial small subunit ribosomal RNA
Source: RNAcentral
UACGUAGGGGGCGAGCGUUGCCCGGAUUCACUGGGUUUAAAGGGUGUGUAGGCGGGUAUUUAAGUCAGUGGUGAAAUCUCCGGGCUCAACCCGGAAACUGCCAUUGAUACUAUUUAUCUUGAAUUCUGUUGAGGUAGGCGGAAUAUAUCAUGUAGCGGUGAAAUGCAUAGAUAUGAUAUAGAACACCGAUUGCGAAGGCAGCUUACUAAACAGAUAUUGACGCUGAGGCACGAAAGCGUGGGGAUCAAACAGG